UACGUAGGUGGCGAGCGUUGUCCGGAUUUACUGGGCGUAAAGGGCGUGCAGGCGGUUUGUUAAGUGCAGAGUGAAAGCUCCCGGCUCAACUGGGAGAGGUCUUUGCAUACUGGCAAACUCGAGGGAGGCAGAGGAAAGUGGAAUUCCCGGUGUAGUGGUGAUAUGCGUAGAUAUCGGGAGGAACACCGGUGGCGAAGGCGGGUCUCUGGGCCGGAUACUGACGCUGAGGAGCGAAAGCGUGGGGAGCGAACAGG
This 254-nucleotide ribosomal RNA is filed under the name uncultured bacterium. RNAcentral describes it as "partial 16S ribosomal RNA". It matches the Rfam family "Bacterial small subunit ribosomal RNA", at positions 524 to 776 of the family's 1533-position model. The record is from RNAcentral.